CGGGAUGGACGCACCGCUGGUGCACCAGUUGUUCCGCCAGGAGCAUAGCUGGGUAGCUACGUGCGGAUGGGAUAAACGCUGAAAGCAUCUAAGCGUGAAGCCCUCCUCAAGAUGAGAUUUCCCAAUUUAGUAAGACCCCUUGAAGACGACGAGGUUGAUAGGCCUGAGGUGGAAGUGCAGCAAUGUAUGGAGCUGACAGGUACUAAUCGGUCGAGGGCUUAUCCAAAUU
Molecule: ribosomal RNA, 229 nt
Filed under: Paenibacillus woosongensis
Lineage: Bacteria; Bacillati; Bacillota; Bacilli; Caryophanales; Paenibacillaceae
Description: partial 23S ribosomal RNA
Rfam family: Bacterial large subunit ribosomal RNA
Source: RNAcentral